This 373-nucleotide ribosomal RNA is filed under the name uncultured Gloeocapsa sp. Its description in RNAcentral is "bacterial SSU rRNA". It matches the Rfam family "Bacterial small subunit ribosomal RNA", at positions 122 to 528 of the family's 1533-position model. The record is from RNAcentral. Lineage: Bacteria; Bacillati; Cyanobacteriota; Cyanophyceae; Chroococcidiopsidales; Chroococcidiopsidaceae. RNAcentral also lists the same sequence under 1 other name.
GAACCUGCCUUCAGAAUGGGGACAACAGUUGGAAACGACUGCUAAUACCCAAUGUGCCGAAAGGUGAAAGAUUUAUCGUCUGAAGAUGGGCUCGCGUCUGAUUAGCUAGAUGGUGGGGUAAGAGCCUACCAUGGCAACGAUCAGUAGCUGGUCUGAGAGGAUGAGCAGCCACACUGGGACUGAGACACGGCCCAGACUCCUACGGGAGGCAGCAGUGGGGAAUUUUCCGCAAUGGCGAAAGCCUGACGGAGCAAUACCGCGUGAGGGAGGAAGGUCCUUGGAUUGUAAACCUCUUUUAUCAGGGAAGAAAAAAAUGACGGUACCUGAUGAAUAAGCAUCGGCUAACUCCGUGCCAGCAGCCGCGGUAAUACGG